This is a long non-coding RNA of Drosophila mojavensis, 702 nucleotides long. RefSeq lists it as uncharacterized. The record is from RefSeq and is a predicted model, not a curated record. The transcript has 3 exons. NCBI's taxonomy places the organism in Eukaryota, Metazoa, Arthropoda, Insecta, Diptera, Drosophilidae.
GUCAAUAUUUCUCGUAAAUAGUAGAUAUAUAUCGAAUAAAGGUACAACACCUGACUUCGACCAUAAAACAGUGGGGCUUGAUUUGACCUCAGCUCUAGCCAAGUACAAAAUGAUUGUAGCAGUUGUAAUAAUCAAUUAGAGACAGUUUUCCCAUGGCUUCGUUUUCUGCUUCCUUUGUGUUUCUCUCGUGGAUAUUUGAAAACAAUAAUUCAUCAUUUUGCGCUUGAAUGGAGUAAGCUGUCGCCUCAUCGUGCACUUUGUGCUCGCUGGCAUCAUUAGUCAGCGCCCAGAUAUAGAUAUAUCUGGAUCUGUUGCUCAACCAACCUGUCCGUCAUAGGUAGACAAGAGAUUGUGUGCAGAGCGAAGAAGUGAGAGAGACAGAGAGACGGGCGGAUAGAGUCAAAUACUCGAGCGAUAAUCAAGUUCUGACUUGGCCCAACUUAAUUGCGAUACAGAUUCGAGCUAUCAAAUUGCUGGAGGGGACCACCCAAAGCCCAAGUUAGGAAUAUGUUGAAGACAGGACGGAAAUAGCACCAAUAUGCUCCAUUUGUACCUCUGGAACGAGCAUAUGUAACUUGGACUUGCAUACAUGAUUGAACAGAGCUCAGAGCUGAGUCAAGGAGGUACCUUCAAUAAUUCCCAUUUCUAUCAAUGUGAGAGAAUUUCAAUAGUUUAUGGAAGAAUAUAUUUAUGGAAAAAUGA